Non-coding RNA from Psammomys obesus (fat sand rat), 440 nucleotides. Lineage: Eukaryota; Metazoa; Chordata; Mammalia; Rodentia; Muridae. The record is from the annotation of a RefSeq genome assembly.
GCAGGGGGAGCAAGAUGAAGUCACAGACCCAGGUCCUCCUAUCCCUGCUGCUUUGGGUGUCUGGUGUCUGUGCAGACAUUGUGAUGACCCAGUCUCCAUCCUCCCUGGCUGUGUCAGAGGGAGAGAAGGUCUCCAUCAGCUGCAGGUCCAGUCAGAGUCUUUAUUACAGUGACAACCAAAAGAACUUAUUGUCCUGGUACCAGCAGAAACCAGGGCAAUCCCCUAAGCUUCUGGUCUACUGGGCAUCCACCCGGUACACUGGGGUCCCUGAUCGCUUCACAGGCAGUGGCUCUGGGACAGAUUUCACUCUCAGCAUCAGCAGUGUGCAGGCUGAAGACCUGGCAGUUUACUACUGUAUGCAGUAUCGCAGCUAUCCUCCCACAACCACAUACUCUCCCCUGGCAUACUGUGAGAAGCCCAUGGAAACUUUGGAUUUGUAA